This 253-nucleotide ribosomal RNA is filed under the name uncultured bacterium. RNAcentral's name for it is "partial 16S ribosomal RNA". It matches the Rfam family "Bacterial small subunit ribosomal RNA", at positions 524 to 776 of the family's 1533-position model. The record is from RNAcentral.
UACGUAGGGUGCGAGCGUUAAUCGGAAUAACUGGGCGUAAAGGGUGCGUAGGCGGAAGUAUAAGUUAGAUGUGGAAAGCCUGGGCUUAACCUGGGUCUUGCAUUUAAGACUGUAUUUCUAGAGUUAGUAAGAGGGGGGUAGAAUUCCAGGUGUAGCAGUGAGAUGCGUAGAGAUCUGGAGGAAUACCGAAGGCGAAGGCAGCCCCCUGGUAUAUGACUGACGCUGAGGCACGAAAGCGUGGGAAGCAAACAGG